GUCGCCGGCGCGGCGGGUUCACGCGGCUUCGAGCGCCGAGGCCCAGGCUCAGGCUCGGGCGUUCCGCGGGCCGGCGUGGCGCAGUGGGAGAACCAGCAGCAGAGAGCCGGUGCCCAGGAACAUUGAACAACUGGAGUAGCAAGUUAUAGAGGAGGGCGUGAGCGCAGCGACUGUUUUCUGAUGUGGACAGAAGUCAGGCAAAGAGGGAAGAGGCUCCUUAAAACUCAGAGAAUUUCUUUCCUCUCACGGGUUCCCGAACUUUCCAUAUUGCCUUGGUAUUUAUGAAGGAUUCGACUUCAGUGUAUUAAAGUG
This is a long non-coding RNA of Mobula hypostoma (lesser devil ray), 312 nucleotides long. RefSeq lists it as uncharacterized. The record is from RefSeq and is a predicted model, not a curated record. NCBI's taxonomy places the organism in Eukaryota, Metazoa, Chordata, Chondrichthyes, Myliobatiformes, Myliobatidae. The transcript has 3 exons.